This 253-nucleotide ribosomal RNA is filed under the name uncultured bacterium. RNAcentral's name for it is "partial 16S ribosomal RNA". It matches the Rfam family "Bacterial small subunit ribosomal RNA", at positions 524 to 776 of the family's 1533-position model. The record is from RNAcentral.
UACGGGGGGGGCAAGCGUUGUUCGGAAUUACUGGGCGUAAAGGGCUCGUAGGCGGCCAACUAAGUCGGACGUGAAAUCCCUCGGCUUAACCGGGGAACUGCGUCCGAUACUGGAUGGCUCGAGUUUGGGAGAGGGAGGUGGAAUUCCACGUGUAGCAGUGAAAUGCGUAGAGAUGUGGAGGAACACCGAUGGCGAAGGCAGCCUCCUGGGCCAGCACUGACGCUCAUGCACGAAAGCGUGGGGAGCAAACGGG